GACGAACGUUGGCGGCGUGCUUAAUACAUGCAAGUCAACUGAAGCAGUGGUAGCAAUAUCGCUGUGGAGGUGGCGCACGGGUGAGUAACACGUAGGUAAUCUGCCUUCAGGUCUGGCAUAACUCCGGGAAACCGGGGCUAAUAGCAGAUGAUGCAGCGGCUCGACAUCGAGACAGUUGUUAAAGCUAUGGCGCCUGAAGAUGAGCCUGCGUCUGAUUAGCUAGUUGGCGGGGUAACGGCCCACCAAGGCAACGAUCAGUAGCUGGUCUGAGGGGAUGAUCAGCCACACUGGAACUGAGACACGGUCCAGACUCCUACGGGAGGCAGCAGUAAGGAAUAUUGCUCAAUGGGAGAAAUCCUGAAGCAGCAACGCCGCGUGAGGGACGAAGGGCUUUUGCUUGUAAACCUCUGUAGUGAGAGAAAAAAAUCCCAAUCUUUGGGACAUGAUGGUAUCUCAAAAGUAAGCCCCGGCUAACUACGUG
RNAcentral lists this ribosomal RNA (481 nucleotides) under uncultured bacterium. Its description in RNAcentral is "partial 16S ribosomal RNA". It matches the Rfam family "Bacterial small subunit ribosomal RNA", at positions 28 to 507 of the family's 1533-position model. The record is from RNAcentral.